GACAGAGGGUGCAAACGUUGUUCGGAAUUACUGGGCGUAAAGCGUGUGUAGGCGGCCAUGUAAGUCGGAUGUGAAAGCCCCGGGCUCAACCCGGGAAGUGCACUCGAUACUGCGUGGCUUGAGUAUCGGAGAGGUUGGUGGAAUUCUCGGUGUAGAGGUGAAAUUCGUAGAUAUCGAGAGGAACACCGGUGGCGAAGGCGGCCAACUGGACGAAUACUGACGCUGAGGCACGAAAGCGUGGGGAGCAAACAGG
This 253-nucleotide ribosomal RNA is filed under the name uncultured bacterium. RNAcentral describes it as "partial 16S ribosomal RNA". It matches the Rfam family "Bacterial small subunit ribosomal RNA", at positions 524 to 776 of the family's 1533-position model. The record is from RNAcentral.